This 253-nucleotide ribosomal RNA is filed under the name uncultured bacterium. RNAcentral's name for it is "partial 16S ribosomal RNA". It matches the Rfam family "Bacterial small subunit ribosomal RNA", at positions 524 to 776 of the family's 1533-position model. The record is from RNAcentral.
UACGUAGGCAGCGAGCGUUGUUCGGAAUUACUGGGCGUAAAGAGUGUGUAGGCGGUGCUCUAAGUUCGGUGUGAAAUCUCCCGGCUUAACUGGGAGGGUGCGCCGGAAACUGGAGUGCUCGAGCGUGGGAGAGGAAAGCGGAAUUCCUGGUGUAGCGGUGAAAUGCGUAGAUAUCAGGAGGAACACCUGCGGUGUAGACGGCUUUCUGGACCAUUGCUGACGCUGAGACACGAAAGCGUGGGGAGCAAAAGGG